GCGUUGUCCGGAAUCAUUGGGCGUAAAGCGCGCGUAGGCGGCCCGGUAAGUCCGCUCUGAAAGUCCAGGGCUCAACCCUGGAAAGCGGGUGGAUACUGCCGGGCUAGAAUCCGGAAGAGGCGAGUGGAAUUCCUGGUGUAGCGGUGGAAUGCGCAGAUAUCAGGAGGAACACCAAUAGCGAAGGCAGCUCGCUGGGACGGUAUUGACGCUAAGGCGCGAAAGCGUG
RNAcentral lists this ribosomal RNA (226 nucleotides) under uncultured bacterium. RNAcentral describes it as "partial 16S ribosomal RNA". It matches the Rfam family "Bacterial small subunit ribosomal RNA", at positions 538 to 763 of the family's 1533-position model. The record is from RNAcentral.